CAAGUUUUGUAUUUCUGGGGCAUUUAGUUGUGUUGUUAUAGUCACGAUGCACUGUUGUGAGUUAUGUGGGUCCGGAUUGUGGUUUUGUGGUGUGGUUGUGUUGUUACAAUCAGGAGGGAAUGCUUUUGUGUUGUGUUGCCAAGUUUUGUAUUUCUGGGGCGUUUAGUUGUGUUGUUAUAGUCACGAUGCGUUGUUGUGAGUUUUGUGGGUCCGGAUUGAGGUUUUGUGGUGUGGUUGUGUUGUUACAACCUGGAGGGAAGGCUUUUGCGUUGUGUUGUUACAACCUGGAGGGAAGGCUUUUGCAUUGUGUUGCCAAGUUUCGUAUUUCUGGGGCGUUUAGUUGUGUUGUUAUAGUCACGAUGCGUUGUUGUGAGUUUUGUGGGUCCUGUGUGGUUUUGUGGUGUGGUUGUGUUGUUACAACUGGGAGGCAAGGCUUUUGCAUUGUGUUGCCAAGUUUUGUAUUUCUGGGGCGUUUAGUUGUGUUCUUAUCGCAUGAUGCGUUGUUGUGAGUUUUGUGGGUCUGGAUUGUGGUUUUGUGGUGUGGUUGUGUUGUUGUAACCUGGAGGCAAGCCUUUUGUAUUGUGUUGCCAAAUUUCGUAUUUCUGGGAUGUUUAGUUUUGUUGUUAUAGUCACUGCGCAAACAACUUUAUCAUUUUAUAUAUAUAGAUAGAUAAAUACAAGAAAUGUUGCUUCUCCACUGGGACCACUGCGCAUGCAGAGCCCACGGCACAAGGAGCCCUGAUGCACAAUGUUCUGCCAAGGCACAACUCCCCAUGUGUCCCCUUGUGCAUCAACAUCACAAUGUACUAUGCAGCACGGUUUUGUGUUAUGUUAGUGUCAUAACUCCAUCACCAUAAAGUGACACGUCAUAGCCUCUGAUGCAAGGUGUCAGAAAACACACCUGUGUGUACAGAUACGGACAUGACACAACUAUAUAUCUCACUAGCUUUGCCCGGCCAUGCGUUGCUGUGGCUUAUGGGAAUCCUUUGUUGGCCAGAUGGAAUAGCAGUGAAUAGCCUUGCAGUCUCAAAGCCUGGCCGUUUUCUGGAGUCGCUGGAGCUUUUUGUUGUAUGAACGUAGAGGCAUAGAUGAGGGGUUGUGCUGCCAAGUUUAGUGUUUCUGGGAUGUGUAGUUUUGUUGUUUUGUCCUAGGCCAACAUUUCAUUACCCUUUUAUAUUUAGAGAUAGAUGAGUCACUUCUUUGGACCCAGGCAGCAGAUUGGCAAGAUUCUACCUAAACUCCUGGGAGGAGAUGCCAAGCAUCAGAGAGGAAAGGUGAAGCAGCAGCAUGCCUUCCAGGUCUCGAUUGCUCUGGCUUUUGGGCCGGCCGUACGUACCUCCAGGUAGGGGACGGGGGUCUCUGGGCUGAGCGGGUACUCCCUCAGCAGCCGCUCCUCGUCCAGGAACUUCCCGGCCCGGCCGUUGAAGGCCGGCUGGAAGAGGCCGUAGUUGAGGACAUCCUUGAGGCUGUGGUUCAGCGUGCAGAGGAUGCGCUGCUUGGAGAACCAGACCGGCACGUCCGGGUUCAGCCGCAGACACUUCUGUGGAAGGAAGGAGAGAAGGGGCAGAUGUCAGAGAAGGGUGGCCAGAGCAGGCUCACGUCCAGUCCGGCCCCAAGGUGGACCCUGCAGGACACUUCCCCCUUUGCAGGCAGACAGGAAGGAAGGGACAAAGACAGCAAAACAAAGGGUGUGUCUACACUACGCAUGGGCCAACUUGGGCCCUUCAGGUGUUUUGGACUUCCAAAACACCUGGAGGGCCCAGGUUGGCCCAUGCCUGGUCUACACUGUCCAAUUUUGGCCCUCCCUACAGGUGUUUUGGACUUCGACUCCCACAAUUCCUAACAGCUGGUAAGUCUUGCAGCUUAUCUGAUGUGGCCUGACCAAGAACAAGCCAGGAGAGUCAAGACACAGAUCCACCCAAAGGAAAAGUGUUCUUGCCGUGCAUCAGGGGAACCACUGUAUUGAAAACAUUGACUACAAAAACAUUAACUACUACAAAGCAGUUGGAUAAUACAGAACGUUGGAUAAGCGAAGGUUGGAUAAGCGAGAUUCUACUGUACCGUAAAUAAAUAAAUAAAUAAAAUAUGCAUUUGUACGAUUAAAAAAUCGACAUUUUCAAAUAACGUGGGCUAUGCUGGCCCCCCCAAGUCAGUAUUAAUAAUAAUAAUGAUCAAUUCAACAUAGUUUGUGGCAGCCACAAAAGCGAAGUUUCUGGUGUGUAACAACUUCAUUCAAAGUAAGGACGGCACAACAAAACAGGAAAUAAGACUUUCAAACCAGGAACAGAACGUUUUCCAAAUUGUGUUACAGAUUGUCAUGGAAAGGAGGUCACGGUGAGGAAGAGGCCGGCUUGUCCUGUCCCCUAAUAGGACACAACGGAGGCAUGGACUCAAAUGGCAGGAAAGGGGAUCCCAUUUAAAUAUCAGGAACUAAGAACGUCUUGAUGGUCAGGUCUGCUUGAUGGUGGAACAGGGAGUGCCUGGGGGUGGACUCAGGGCCGGCCCUAGGUAAUUUUCAAGUGUAAGCGAACAGAAUUUUGGUGCCCCCCCCCACCAAUCACUGAAAAAUAAAAGCGUUGGAUAAGCAAAAAUGCUGGAUAAUAAGGAUGGAUUAAGGAAAAGCCUAUUAAACAUCAAAUUACAUUAUGAUUUUACAAAUUAAGCAUCAUGUUUUAGAACAAAUUGACAGAAAAAGCAGUUCAAUAUGUUAUGUAGAAAUUACUAUAUUUGCGAAUUUAGCACCAAACAUUGAACUGGGAUAUAGGGCAGUGUGGGCUCAGAUAACUCAGUUCAAAGCAGAUAUUGUGGGUUAUUCUGCCUUGAUAUUCUGGGUGAUAAGGUUGUGUGGAAGAGCCCUGAGGGUCCUUCCACACAGCCAUAUAACCCAGAAUAUCAAGGCAGAUAAUCCACAAUUAAAAGAAUGGCAUAAGCACUUUGCACUAUUUUAAAUUUUGUAUAUUGUAUAUUAUAAUUGUUUUAACUGUUUUAAUGUUUAUUUUAUUGUACUAUGGUGCAUUGGCAUAAAUUGCCAGUCUGUAAGCCGCCCUGAGUCCCUGCGGGUGAGAAGGGCGGGGUAGAAAUGAUAGAAAUAAAUAAAUAAAUGGCCACCGAAAGUGAAUCUGGCCCCUGGUAUUAAAAAAAACUCUAAAAUCAGGACAGUAAAUAAAGAACACCACUCAGAAAACAGAGGAAUUCCAGACAGGAAACAAUCAGGGCCAACUAACACCUCCCAACAAAGGAUUCCCCCAGACAGGAAGCAGACAGGCUUUGAAGUUGCAAAGCCAUUCAAUGCUAAUCAAGGUGGCCACUUACAACAUUCACACUUGCCUCAAGGACUGACAUUCCACAUAUACAGUAGAGUCUCAUUUAUCCAACACUCGCUUAUCCAACGUUCUGGAUUAUCCAAUGCUUUUUUGUAGUCAAUGUUUUCAAUACAUUGUGAUAUUUUGGUGCCAAGUUCGUAAAUACAGUAAUUUCUACAUAGCAUUACUGUAUAUUGAACUACUUUUUCUGUCAAAUUUGUUGCAUAACAUGAUGUUUUGGUGCUUAAUUUGUAAAAGCAUAACCUAAUUUGAUGUUUAAUAGGCUUCUCCUUAAUCUCUCCUUAUUAUCCAACAUAUUAGCUUAUCCAACGUUCUGUUGGCCCGUUUAUGUUGGAUAAGUGAGACUCUACUGUAUAUAUAAACCCCACAUAUAUAUAAAAGCCAGUUUCCAAGAGACCUCGCUGGAAGCGGCGGCGCGCAUGCUCUCCAGCCGCUUCACCUGGCGGGAGGCAGCCACAACCGCGCCCCCCAAACAACAGCGCCUGAGGCAACCGCCUCAAUUGCCUUAUGGGUGAACCGCCCCUGGGUGGACUGGAUGGCCUUAAAAGGUCCCAGCUCGAGGAUUUGAGGAUUUGUAGGGCCGGCCCCUGCGAAAGCAAGUGGAAAGAAAGCGCUGCCAAAUAGAAGAAAACAAGGGAAUGAUCUAUGGCUGUUGACAAACUGGAUGAAUCUGGAAGCAGGAUGAAUAAUGCAAUAAUUCGGAUGGGGACAAACAGCCUCCCGUUUGGGAAACAACUAUUCUUUUUUUUCUUGGCAAAAGGCUCCGAAAUCCUCAACAAAGGCACCUGCUCUGCCAAGUUAGUCUCUCCAAUGCCAUUCCCCCCGAUCCU
Molecule: long non-coding RNA, 4153 nt
Filed under: Anolis carolinensis (green anole)
Lineage: Eukaryota; Metazoa; Chordata; Lepidosauria; Squamata; Anolidae
Description: lncRNA (ENSACAG00000044542.1)
Source: RNAcentral